RNAcentral lists this ribosomal RNA (460 nucleotides) under uncultured bacterium. Its description in RNAcentral is "bacterial SSU rRNA". It matches the Rfam family "Bacterial small subunit ribosomal RNA", at positions 71 to 509 of the family's 1533-position model. The record is from RNAcentral.
AGCUUGCAUUUUGAAGCCGAGUAGGCAAACGGGUGAGUAACGCGUAGACAACCUGACCGCAAAGAUGGGGACAACAGUCCGAAAGGACUGCUAAUACCGAAUGUUGUCAGAUUCCCGCAUGGGAGACUGAUUAAAGAUGGCCUCUACUUGUAAGCUAUCGCUUUGCGAUGGGUCUGCGUCUGAUUAGCUAGUUGGUGGGGUAACGGCCUACCAAGGCGACGAUCAGUAGCCGGUCUGAGAGGAUGAACGGCCACAUUGGAACUGAGACACGGUCCAGACUCCUACGGGAGGCAGCAGUGGGGAAUCUUCCGCAAUGGGCGAAAGCCUGACGGAGCAACGCCGCGUGAGUGAAGAAGGGUUUCGGCUCGUAAAGCUCUGUUGACGGGGACGAAUGUGCGAAAUGCGAAUAGUUUUUUGCAAUGACGGUACCCGUCGAGGAAGCCACGGCUAACUACGUGCC